This is a non-coding RNA of Trichechus manatus latirostris (Florida manatee), 71 nucleotides long. Lineage: Eukaryota; Metazoa; Chordata; Mammalia; Sirenia; Trichechidae. The record is from the annotation of a RefSeq genome assembly.
GCAGUGAUGGUUCAGUGGUAGAAUUCUUGCCUUUUAUGCGGGAGACCUGGGUUCAAUUCCCAGCCAGUGCG